CCCAUAUGUGAAUGAAAAAUUUGAAUAAUAUGUCGUUAUGAUCCAAAAUAGCACAAGAGACAAUACAUCUAUCACAAUAGAAUAAAUUGAUGAAAUGGGACACAUGUAAAUUGUUCCAAGAUUUCAAAGGGUUGCAGAAGAGUAGAACAGAGGAAAAGAGUAACAAACUUUUGGCUAUAUUCACUAUAUAAGGAAAAGCACCCAACAACAUAGGAAAUAAAUUAUUUAUGAAGAAUCUAGAUUCUCUCCACUUGACAAAUUUUAAAAUGUCGUUUCAAUGUGAAUUAUGUAGUGUGCAGUCCAAAUUGGAGCUGUAUUUGGAGCUAUAACUCCUAGGGUUGGACAAAUUUGAGAUAAUUAGCCCAACCCAACCGACCUGCAAAAGAAAAAUGGUGAUCGAGAGGGUGGGGCGGAUGACGUGGACAUUUGUGAUUGGGUCUGUACGAGCGGGUUCAUGUGAGUUAAUUUGGACUGGCGGUGUCCGAACGGGGUUCACCCAAUAUAUAUAGCAAAUAGGUUUGGAGAUUAAUAUAGCAACACCAUUUUAAAGGAACAAGGUGAUGUGCUAGAAUUGAAUGGAACAACCUGUUGCAACAUGGAUCAAGCUUCUUGAACUAUAUUUUGUAUUUACAUUUUAAAGUUCAUGCGAUGAUGUUAUUUGAUACUAGAUAAUUGAUACAUUAAGUGUAUUAUAUGCUAUGUAUAAAUGUUUUAUGCUAUAUUUAAGUGUCUUAAAUAUUAUCUUUAAGUUAUUGGUACAUGCUCAUCAGUUACUCCUUUAUUCCAAAAUCUGUGUACAUGUAAAAUAAUGAAAAUUGAAUAAACACAUUUUCCUUUUU
Long non-coding RNA from Cicer arietinum (chickpea), 839 nucleotides. RefSeq lists it as uncharacterized. Lineage: Eukaryota; Viridiplantae; Streptophyta; Magnoliopsida; Fabales; Fabaceae. The record is from RefSeq and is a predicted model, not a curated record.